This is a non-coding RNA of Agelaius phoeniceus (red-winged blackbird), 322 nucleotides long. The record is from RefSeq and is a predicted model, not a curated record. Lineage: Eukaryota; Metazoa; Chordata; Aves; Passeriformes; Icteridae.
UUGCCGUUCAUCUUCCGCAGGACGUUGGGCAGAGCCCCCACGCCAUUGGUGAGCUCGGCUGGCAGCGGGGGUGGCAGUGGGGGCACAGCAGCCGGCAGCUCCUUGACUGGGGAGGUGGCAGCCGUGGGCGCCUCGCCGGGGAUGAUCCGCAGGCAGCCGUCGGGGCAGUCCAUCCGCUUCUCCGGGGAGGCUUCCCAGUGGAUCUGCAAGGGGAAGAGAGACUGCUACUGCAUGACCCCCAUCACUGCAUGGUCCCCCUGUCACUGUAACCUCCAGCUUUCAUUAGAGCCAUCAGAAAUGAUAAAAUCCUUAUUUAUUUGUU